CCGCUAAUUAAAUUUUAACUUUUUAAUCCUUUAUCUUUACGGGUUCUUCAAUUGAGUCAACUCUAAAAAUCUUAAUUUAAAAAGUGUAUAUAUAUAUAUAUUGAUAGAGAGAGAGAACUUCUCUAAAGGUAAGUAAAUCAAUUAUAUUGACUAAGAAAUAAAGGCAAUAUAUAAAUCAAUAUAUUUUUUGGUUGCGUUAAAUGUACGGCACUUUUUGGAAAUUUACAGUUUUCUGUUAUGGCACAUAAAAAAAAAUUAACUGAAAAUUGUUGCUUUAAAUUGACUAUCUAACGUGCAAAUGCCGAAUAUGAAUUGACACGUUAACAUUGACUUGCCCCACAUAUUUUUACAAAAUAAAGACAAGUUGAUGAAUGACUUCCAGAGAGUUCCCCUGAUGUGGUAAUUUUAGAUAUAAAAAUAAAGAGUUUAGAUUAAACUUAUAUAUAUAUAAUCAUGUUAGUUGAUGGAUGUCUUUCAGAGUGUUUCUCACUCCAUGAUUUGGUAUUGAAGUGA
RNAcentral lists this unclassified non-coding RNA (513 nucleotides) under Hevea brasiliensis (rubber tree). Lineage: Eukaryota; Viridiplantae; Streptophyta; Magnoliopsida; Malpighiales; Euphorbiaceae. The record is from RNAcentral.